RNAcentral lists this ribosomal RNA (164 nucleotides) under Euphorbia dimorphocaulon. Its description in RNAcentral is "5.8S ribosomal RNA". It matches the Rfam family "5.8S ribosomal RNA". Rfam says of the family: 5.8S ribosomal RNA (5.8S rRNA) is a component of the large subunit of the eukaryotic ribosome. The record is from RNAcentral. Lineage: Eukaryota; Viridiplantae; Streptophyta; Magnoliopsida; Malpighiales; Euphorbiaceae.
AAAAUGACUCUCGGCAACGGAUAUCUCGGCUCUCGCAUCGAUGAAGAACGCAGCGAAAUGCGAUACUUGGUGUGAAUUGCAGGAUCCCGCGAACCAUCGAGUCUUUGAACGCAAGUUGCGCCCGAAGCCUUUUGGCCGAGGGCACGUCUGCCUGGGUGUCACUC